Molecule: non-coding RNA, 478 nt
Organism: Drosophila suzukii
Lineage: Eukaryota; Metazoa; Arthropoda; Insecta; Diptera; Drosophilidae
Source: RefSeq, a predicted model, not a curated record
AAAAUUAUAUAGUCGGAUGUUAUUCGCUUUAGAAGGGGUAUAGGGGCAGCGGCACGCGCCAACAGCGAAGAGAAAACAAAAGAAAUCAAGUAAAGAAGAGACAGGAAGAUUUGGUGCAUUCUGUUUGAGUGAUUGAAAGGGAAGCAUCCAUUUAAAUUGUACGCAGCAGAGUUACUUUAAUCGUUUCUUUAAGUUCAAGUAAUAAAGUCAGGUGUUUUAUGAGGUCCGUUAGCCGAAAGUGGAAGAUGAAAUGUUUUGUGCCAAUAAAAUUCCCGCAAAGGGGUAUACACAGCUCUAAAAGGAGCGUUGGCCUAGGACUCAGUGGACCUGGACAAAUGUUUAAGAAAGGCGAUGACCAAUGCAAAAAACAAAUUAACGAAGCAUACAACUAGGCUUACUAACAAUAGUUGUCCUUCAACAGAAAAGCUAAACAACACAAUUUAAUUAAAAUGAAGUAAAUAAAAAUGAAUGUAUUUUA